UACGUAGGGGGCUAGCGUUGUCCGGAAUCAUUGGGCGUAAAGAGCGUGUAGGCGGCCCGGUAAGUCCGCUGUAAAAGUCAAAGGCUCAACCUUUGAAUGUCAGUGGAUACUGCCGGGCUAGAGUCCGGAAGAGGCGAGUGGAACUCCUGGUGUAGCGGUGGAAUGCGCAGAUAUCAGGAAGAACACCAACGGCGAAGGCAGCUCGCUGGGACGGUACUGACGCUGGAGACGCGAAGGCGUGGGGAGCGAAACAGG
Molecule: ribosomal RNA, 255 nt
Filed under: uncultured bacterium
Lineage: Bacteria
Description: partial 16S ribosomal RNA
Rfam family: Bacterial small subunit ribosomal RNA
Source: RNAcentral